AGUGGCGAACGGGUGAGUAAUACAUAAGCAAUCUGCCCAUCGGCUUGGGAUAACAGUUGGAAACGACUGCUAAUACCGGAUAGGUGAUAGGGAGGCAUCUCUCGAUCAUUAAAGUUGGGAUACAACACGGAUGGAUGAGCUUAUGGCGUAUUAGCUAGUAGGUGAGGUAACGGCUCACCUAGGCGAUGAUACGUAGCCGACCUGAGAGGGUGACCGGCCACAUUGGGACUGAGACACGGCCCAAACUCCUACGGGAGGCAGCAGUAGGGAAUUUUCGGCAAUGGGCGAAAGCCUGACCGAGCAACGCCGCGUGAGUGAAGAAGGCCUUCGGGUUGUAAAGCUCUGUUGUGAAGGAAGAACGGCUCAUACAGGGAAUGGUAUGGGAGUGACGGUACUUUACCAGAAAGCCACGGCUAACUACGUGCCAGCAGCCGCGGUAAUACGUAGGUGGCGAGCGUUAUCCGGAAUUAUUGGGCGUAAAGGGUGCGCAGGCGGUUUUUUAAGUUUAAGGUGAAAGCGUGGGGCUUAACCCCAU
RNAcentral lists this ribosomal RNA (535 nucleotides) under uncultured Mollicutes bacterium. RNAcentral's name for it is "bacterial SSU rRNA". It matches the Rfam family "Bacterial small subunit ribosomal RNA", at positions 94 to 618 of the family's 1533-position model. The record is from RNAcentral. Lineage: Bacteria; Bacillati; Mycoplasmatota; Mollicutes.